GACGUAGGAGGCGAGCGUUAUCCGGAAUCAUUGGGUUUAAAGGGUCCGUAGGCGGUCUUAUAAGUCAGUGGUGAAAUCUCCCCGCUCAACGGGGAAACGGCCAUUGAUACUGUAAGACUUGAAUUAUUAGGAAGUAACUAGAAUAUGUAGUGUAGCGGUGAAAUGCUUAGAGAUUACAUGGAAUACCAAUUGCGAAGGCAGGUUACUACUAAUGGAUUGACGCUGAUGGACGAAAGCGUGGGUAGCGAACAGG
RNAcentral lists this ribosomal RNA (253 nucleotides) under uncultured bacterium. RNAcentral's name for it is "partial 16S ribosomal RNA". It matches the Rfam family "Bacterial small subunit ribosomal RNA", at positions 524 to 776 of the family's 1533-position model. The record is from RNAcentral.